This 246-nucleotide ribosomal RNA is filed under the name Serratia sp. 3AR1. Its description in RNAcentral is "partial 16S ribosomal RNA". It matches the Rfam family "Bacterial small subunit ribosomal RNA", at positions 42 to 285 of the family's 1533-position model. The record is from RNAcentral. Lineage: Bacteria; Pseudomonadati; Pseudomonadota; Gammaproteobacteria; Enterobacterales; Yersiniaceae.
GCGGAGCCUACACAUGCAGUCGAGCGGUAGCACAGGAGAGCUUGCUCUCCGGGUGACGAGCGGCGGACGGGUGAGUAAUGUCUGGGAAACUGCCUGAUGGAGGGGGAUAACUACUGGAAACGGUAGCUAAUACCGCAUAACGUCUACGGACCAAAGUGGGGGACCUUCGGGCCUCACGCCAUCAGAUGUGCCCAGAUGGGAUUAGCUAGUAGGUGGGGUCAUGCCUCACCUAGGCNACNAUCCCUA